Molecule: ribosomal RNA, 208 nt
Filed under: uncultured bacterium
Lineage: Bacteria
Description: partial 16S ribosomal RNA
Rfam family: Bacterial small subunit ribosomal RNA
Source: RNAcentral
CGUGUAGGCGGUGUGGUAAGUCGGAUGCGAAAUCUCCAGGCUUAACCUGGAAACUGCAUUCGAAACUGCCAUGCUUGAGUACCGGAGAGGGAGACGGAAUUCCUGGUGUAGGGGUGAAAUCUGUAGAUAUCAGGAAGAACACCGGUGGCGAAGGCGGUCUCCUGGCCGGAUACUGACGCUGAGGCGCGAAAGCUAGGGGAAGCAAACA